Long non-coding RNA from Oncorhynchus keta (chum salmon), 1177 nucleotides. RefSeq lists it as uncharacterized. Lineage: Eukaryota; Metazoa; Chordata; Actinopteri; Salmoniformes; Salmonidae. The transcript is spliced from 3 exons. The record is from RefSeq and is a predicted model, not a curated record.
UAGUAGUUAUAGUAAGGUUAGGGUUACGUUAGUUACCUUAGUAAAGGAGGUUAGUUAGUAGUUAUAGUAAGGUUAGGGUUACGUUAGUUACCUUAGUAAAGGAGGUUAGUUAGUAGUUAUAGUAAGGUUAGGGUUACGUUAGUUACCUUAGUAAAGGAGGUUAGUUAGUAGUUAUAGUAUGGUUAGGGUUACGUUAGUUACCUUAGUAAAGGAGGUUAGUUAGUAGUUAUAGUAUGGUUAGGGUUACGUUAGUUACCUUAGUAAAGGAGGUUAGUUAGUAGUUAUAGUAAGGUUAGGGUUACGUUAGUUACCUUAGUAAAGGAGGUUAGUUAGUAGUUAUAGUAAGGUUAGGGUUACGUUAGUUACCUUAGUAAAGGAGGUUAGUUAGUAGUUAUAGUAAGGUUAGGGUUACGUUAGUUACCUUAGUAAAGGAGGUUAGUUAGUAGUUAUAGUAAGGUUAGGGUUACGUUAGUUACCUUAGUAAAGGAGGUUAGUUAGUAGUUAUAGUAUGGUUAGGGUUACGUUAGUUACCUUAGUAAAGGAGGUUAGUUAGUAGUUACAGUAAGGUUAGGGUUACGUUAGUUACCUUAGUAAAGGAGGUUAGUUAGUAGUUACAGUAAGGUUAGGGUUACGUUAGUUACCUUAGUAAAGGAGGUUAGUUAGUAGUUACAGUAAGGUUAGGGUUACGUUAGUUACCUUAGUAAAGGAGGUUAGUUAGUAGUUAUAGUAAGGUUAGGGUUACGUUAGUUACCUUAGUAAAGGAGGUUAGUUAGUAGUUACAGUAAGGUUAGGGUUACGUUAGUUACCUUAGUAAAGGAGGUUAGUUAGUAGUUACAGUAAGGUUAGGGUUACGUUAGUUACCUUAGUAAAGGAGCUGCCCAGAUUGACGUGGGGUGUGGUUAAGGUUAGUUAGUAGUUACAGUAAGGUUAGGGUUACGUUAGUUACCUUAGUAAAGGAGGUUAGUUAGUAGUUAUAGUAAGAUUAGGGUUACGUUAGUUACCUUAGUAAAGGAGCUGCCCAGAUUGACGUGGGGUGUGGUUAAGGUUAGUUAGUAGUUACAGUAAGGUUAGGGUUACGUUAGUUACCUUAGUAAAGGAGCUACCCAGCUUGACGUGGGGCGUGGUUAAGUUUAGUUAGUAGUUAUAGUAAGGUUAUGUUAGUUACCUUAGUAAAGGA